This is an RNA transcript of Perca fluviatilis (European perch), 994 nucleotides long. RefSeq lists it as uncharacterized. The record is from RefSeq and is a predicted model, not a curated record. The transcript is spliced from 5 exons. Lineage: Eukaryota; Metazoa; Chordata; Actinopteri; Perciformes; Percidae.
UACGCUCACUGACAGCGAGCAGCCGAGUUCCUGUUCUCACUUCAGAUGAAAACUGUGAUCACUGAUCAGUCACGUCAGUCUGCGUGAGGAUGAGGGUGAAUAUCUACCUGCUCGUCUUAGUGCUUGGCUAUAAGGCCGCUGCAGGAAUAAUCCAUGAAAUAUUUGAAGAAAAGACACGGGUGUCUCUGCGAUGUCCUCACUCUGUGGAGGGAGUCGUGACGUGGAGCAGAGAGAGGAAUGGAGACAAAACUGACAUACUGACAUUUAAUGGUGACAGAAAUAUAAAACACGUUGAUGACCCGGGCAAACGAUACGGUUCAUUAGCUGAUAAGACACUGUUCAUUGUAAAAGCUGUCGUCUCAGACUCUGGAAGAUACUUCUGUAACAAUGAAGCAGCUGCAGAUCUGACGGUGAUCCCAUCAGGAACAACUCUAGUCCCUGCUUCAGAGAGGACCAGCAUCACUCUGACAUGUCCUCAUGAUGUCGGAGCAUCACAUGUUCCAACAUGGACCAGAGACUCUGGUGGAAUACCACUAAGAAGGUUUGAUGUUUCCCCUGUUGACCAGACGUUGACUAUAACAGACGUGCAGCCUGGUGACUCCGGACUUUACUACUGUGAUGGAAAACCAGCUGUUUAUCUGAAUGUAAUCAAAGGUUGGCUAACGUUGGCUAAUCUCCCUCUUCUCAUGUCACGUCUGAUGAACAAUAAGUUACGGGAGUGAGAAACACAAGGCAUUGUGAGCUAACGUUACGUAACAUUAGUACAAGGGGGAGUGACAGGCUGCAGCUGGAAAUCAGAAGAAAAAUGGUAACAUGGCACCACGCACAAAACCACAACCACAACAACCACAACCACAAGGACAAACCCAACAACCCCAACAACAACAACCUCGACAACAGCAACAACAACCCGGACAACAACAACAACCCCGACAACAGCAACAACAAGACAAACAUCAGCAGCACUUCCUCCAACAGAAGCAGAAGUAACAAC